CCUGAGAAACCCAAAAGAUCGAAUGGGGAGAUUCAUCGUCAGCGUAUUUGAUAUAUGUAUGAGUUAUGAUAUGAAUUAUCCUCUCACGGGGAUAUUAAUUUGUACAUACUUGUAUUAUUUUAUUGUCAAAUAUUGUCGGCGUGCACUUCUCCCCUAGUAGGACGUCGCGACCCGUUGAGUGUCGAUCUACGGCCCGAUUGGGUAGCCUUUGAUUGUAACAAAUUAAAGACCAGUUGGUGUUUUCUGAUCGACUGCUCGGCGGUACUCGUACGGUAUUGAGUCGCAUUUUAUAUGCGUUAACACCCGUCGCAAGCGCGGCCAGUCACCCGGUAGUGCGGACCUAGUGCCGUCGCUGGGCCUGGCCAGCUGUUGGCUGUUGCGGUGUUCUGUAACUGACUCUAAAUGAAAUUACCGGUCAGCGACGCUACUGCUUUGGGUACUUUCAGGACCCGUCUUGAAACACGGACCAAGGAGUCUAACAUGUGCGCGAGUCAUUGGGAUUAUUUUAUUAAAUUAAACCUAAAGGCGCAAUGAAAGUAAAGAUUGUCCUUGCGAUGAUUGAGGGAGGAUGAGCCGUGUUACGAUGCGGCUCCGCACUCCCGGGGCGUCUUAUUCUCAUUACGAGAAGAGGCGCACCCAG
Molecule: ribosomal RNA, 640 nt
Filed under: Hydrangeocola sp. AZR-2005
Lineage: Eukaryota; Metazoa; Arthropoda; Insecta; Hymenoptera; Braconidae
Description: eukaryotic LSU rRNA
Rfam family: Eukaryotic large subunit ribosomal RNA
Source: RNAcentral